This 57-nucleotide transfer RNA is filed under the name Camelus bactrianus (Bactrian camel). It matches the Rfam family "tRNA", at positions 9 to 63 of the family's 71-position model. Rfam says of the family: Transfer RNA (tRNA) molecules are approximately 80 nucleotides in length. Their secondary structure includes four short double-helical elements and three loops (D, anti-codon, and T loops). RNAcentral also lists the same sequence under 1 other name. Lineage: Eukaryota; Metazoa; Chordata; Mammalia; Artiodactyla; Camelidae. The record is from Rfam by way of RNAcentral.
AGCUCAGUUGGUAGAGUGCUUGCUUAGCAUGCAUGAGGUCCUGGGUUCAAUCCCCAG